AUCCAUCUGUCGAGUCCCGAAUAGGACGAAACGCGUGUCUUGGCU
Molecule: non-coding RNA, 45 nt
Filed under: Schistosoma margrebowiei
Lineage: Eukaryota; Metazoa; Platyhelminthes; Trematoda; Strigeidida; Schistosomatidae
Source: RNAcentral